CCAAGGAGUCUAACAUGUACGCAAGCAUGCGGGACAAGCGAAGCCCUAUUGCUAUAAUGAAAGUGACUGAGAUGUGAUCCCGUUUGACAGCGGGCGCAACAUCGGCGUUCUAUGUAGAACAGCAAGAGUGUAUAUGUUGGUACCCGAAAGAUGGUGAACUAUGCCUGAGCAGAGCGAAGCCAGGGGAAACUCUGGUGGAAGCUCGAAGCGAUUCUGACGUGCAAAUCGAUCGUCAGACUUUGGUAUAGGGGCGAAAGACUAAUCGAACCAUCUA
Molecule: ribosomal RNA, 274 nt
Filed under: Myzostoma cirriferum
Lineage: Eukaryota; Metazoa; Annelida; Myzostomida; Myzostomatidae
Description: partial 28S ribosomal RNA
Rfam family: Eukaryotic large subunit ribosomal RNA
Source: RNAcentral